This 318-nucleotide long non-coding RNA is filed under the name Vulpes vulpes (red fox). RNAcentral describes it as "lncRNA (ENSVVUG00000029010.1)". The record is from RNAcentral. Lineage: Eukaryota; Metazoa; Chordata; Mammalia; Carnivora; Canidae.
AAUACUAAGCAGUCUUGGGAUCCGGUUGAGGUCACAAACCCAGUCCAGUUAGGUCAUUUCCUCUGGCAGCCCUCAGAACAGCUUAGGCACAGCAGGAGGAAAGGAUGCUGGUUUGGUUGAUCCAAGGAGGAGACUAGUCAAUGGGUCCAAUGACAGAUGAGUGUGCUGAGCCAUUUAUGUUAUUGUCUAUCCUAUAAAUUAACAUUGGGAGAAAAUACCUUGGAAGGAGUUGUGAAAUCUGGAGAUAAUAUAGAAGAUACUUGUAUCCUUAAAAAUACACAGUUUGCUUUUAGGGUUUUAUUCCUCUUAAUUCUUUAG